AGAGUUUGAUCCUGGCUCAGGACGAACGCUGGCGGCGUGCUUAACACAUGCAAGUCGAACGAAGAGCGAUGGAAGCUUGCUUCUAUCAAUCUUAGUGGCGAACGGGUGAGUAACGCGUAAUCAACCUGCCCUUCAGAGGGGGACAACAGUUGGAAACGACUGCUAAUACCGCAUACGAUCCGACCUCGGCAUCGAGGAUGGAUGAAAGGUGGCCUCUAUUUAUAAGCUAUCACUGAAGGAGGGGAUUGCGUCUGAUUAGCUAGUUGGAGGGGUAACGGCCCACCAAGGCAAUGAUCAGUAGCCGGUCUGAGAGGAUGAACGGCCACAUUGGGACUGAGACACGGCCCAGACUCCUACGGGAGGCAGCAGUGGGGAAUCUUCCGCAAUGGACGAAAGUCUGACGGAGCAACGCCGCGUGAGUGAUGACGGCCUUCGGGUUGUAAAGCUCUGUUAAUCGGGACGAAAGGUCUUCUUGCGAAUAGUUAGAAGAAUUGACGGUACCGGAAUAGAAAGCCACGGCUAACUACGUGCCAGCAGCCGCGGUAAUACGUAGGUGGCAAGCGUUGUCCGGAAUUAUUGGGCGUAAAGCGCGCGCAGGCGGAUCAGUUAGUCUGUCUUAAAAGUUCGGGGCUUAACCCCGUGAUGGGAUGGAAACUGCUGAUCUAGAGUAUCGGAGAGGAAAGUGGAAUUCCUAGUGUAGCGGUGAAAUGCGUAGAUAUUAGGAAGAACACCAGUGGCGAAGGCGACUUUCUGGACGAAAACUGACGCUGAGGCGCGAAAGCCAGGGGAGCGAACGGGAUUAGAUACCCCGGUAGUCCUGGCCGUA
RNAcentral lists this ribosomal RNA (826 nucleotides) under uncultured bacterium. Its description in RNAcentral is "bacterial SSU rRNA". It matches the Rfam family "Bacterial small subunit ribosomal RNA", at positions 8 to 804 of the family's 1533-position model. The record is from RNAcentral.